GGUUUCGGCCUGAGUACACUGGCGCACGGGUGAGUAACGCGUGAGGAAUCUGCCUGUAAGUUUGGGAUAACACACCGAAAGGUGUGCUAAUACCGGAUAUACUAUGUGCACGCAUGUGUAUAUAGGAAAGGUGGUGUGAGCUACCGCUUACAGAUGACCUCGCGUCCGAUUAGCUAGUUGGUGGGGUAACGGCCUACCAAGGCAACGAUCGGUAGCCGGCCUGAGAGGGUGGCCGGCCACACUGGAACUGAGACACGGUCCAGACUCCUACGGGAGGCAGCAGUGGGGAAUCUUGCGCAAUGGGCGAAAGCCUGACGCAGCGAUGCCGCGUGAACGAAGAAGGCCUUCGGGUCGUAAAGUUCUUUCGCUGGGGAAGAAAGUUAUAUGUAGUAACUGACAUAUAAUUGACGGUACCCAGAUAAGCAGCCCCGGCUAACUCCGUGCCAG
Molecule: ribosomal RNA, 447 nt
Filed under: uncultured bacterium
Lineage: Bacteria
Description: bacterial SSU rRNA
Rfam family: Bacterial small subunit ribosomal RNA
Source: RNAcentral